ACCUGGAGAUAGCUGGUUCUCUCCGAAAUAGCUUUAGGGCUAGCCUCAAGUGAUGAUUAUUGGAGGUAGAGCACUGUUUGGACGAGGGGCCCCUCUCGGGUUACCGAAUUCAGACAAACUCCGAAUGCCAAUUAAUUUAACUUGGGAGUCAGAACAUGGGUGAUAAGGUCCGUGUUCGAAAGGGAAACAGCCCAGACCACCAGCUAAGGUCCCAAAAUAUAUGUUAAGUGGAAAAGGAUGUGGCGUUGCCCAGACAACUAGGAUGUUGGCUUAGAAGCAGCCAUCAUUUAAAGAGUGCGUAAUAGCUCACUAGUCGAGUGACACUGCGCCGAAAAUGUACCGGGGCUAAACAUAUUACCGAAGCUGUGGAUUGUCCUUUGGACAAUGGUAGGAGAGCGUUCUAAGGGCGUUGAAGCAUGAUCGUAAGGACAUGUGGAGCGCUUAGAAGUGAGAAUGCCGGUGUGAGUAGCGAAAGACGGGUGAGAAUCCCGUCCACCGAUUGACUAAGGUUUCCAGAGGAAGGCUCGUCCGCUCUGGGUUAGUCGGGUCCUAAGCUGAGGCCGACAGGCGUAGGCGAUGGAUAACAGGUUGAUAUUCCUGUACCACCUAUAAUCGUUUUAAUCGAUGGGGGGACGCAGUAGGAUAGGCGAAGCGUGCGAUUGGAUUGCACGUCUAAGCAGUAAGGCUGAGUAUUAGGCAAAUCCGGUACUCGUUAAGGCUGA
RNAcentral lists this ribosomal RNA (722 nucleotides) under Staphylococcus aureus. RNAcentral's name for it is "partial 23S ribosomal RNA". It matches the Rfam family "Bacterial large subunit ribosomal RNA", at positions 837 to 1559 of the family's 2925-position model. The record is from RNAcentral. Lineage: Bacteria; Bacillati; Bacillota; Bacilli; Caryophanales; Staphylococcaceae.